This 479-nucleotide ribosomal RNA is filed under the name uncultured bacterium. RNAcentral describes it as "partial 16S ribosomal RNA". It matches the Rfam family "Bacterial small subunit ribosomal RNA", at positions 28 to 507 of the family's 1533-position model. The record is from RNAcentral.
GAUGAACGCUGGCGGCGUGCUUAACACAUGCAAGUCGAACGAAUCACCUUGAUUCGUUUCUUCGGAUGAAGAUCUUGGUGACUGAGUGGCGGACGUGUGAGUAACGCUUGGGUAACCUGCCUCAUACAGGGGGAUAACAGUUAGAAAUGACUGCUAAUACCGCAUAUGACCACAGCUCCUCAUGUUGCAGGGGUAAAAACUGCGUUGGUAUGUGAUGGACUCGAUUCUGAUUAGUUAGUUGGUGGGGUAACGGCCUACCACGCCGACGAUCAGUAGCCGAGAAGAGAGGGGGACAGGACACAAUGGGAAUGAGACACGGACCAAAAUGCUACGGGAGGGAGCAGAGGGGAAUAUUGCAGAAGGGGGGAAAAAGUGAUGAAGCGACGAGGGGGGAGAGAUGAAGUAGGUCGGAAAGAAAAGCUGUAUAAGAAGGGAAGAAAAUGACGGUACCUGAAGAAGAAGCACCGGCUAAAUACGUG